RNAcentral lists this ribosomal RNA (816 nucleotides) under Borreliella burgdorferi (Lyme disease spirochete). Its description in RNAcentral is "bacterial SSU rRNA". It matches the Rfam family "Bacterial small subunit ribosomal RNA", at positions 44 to 859 of the family's 1533-position model. The record is from RNAcentral. Lineage: Bacteria; Pseudomonadati; Spirochaetota; Spirochaetia; Spirochaetales; Borreliaceae.
GCGUCUUAAGCAUGCAAGUCAAACGGGAUGUAGCAAUACAUUCAGUGGCGAACGGGUGAGUAACGCGUGGAUGAUCUACCUAUGAGAUGGGGAUAACUAUUAGAAAUAGUAGCUAAUACCGAAUAAGGUCAGUUAAUUUGUUAAUUGAUGAAAGGAAGCCUUUAAAGCUUCGCUUGUAGAUGAGUCUGCGUCUUAUUAGCUAGUUGGUAGGGUAAAUGCCUACCAAGGCAAUGAUAAGUAACCGGCCUGAGAGGGUGAACGGUCACACUGGAACUGAGAUACGGUCCAGACUCCUACGGGAGGCAGCAGCUAAGAAUCUUCCGCAAUGGGCGAAAGCCUGACGGAGCGACACUGCGUGAAUGAAGAAGGUCGAAAGAUUGUAAAAUUCUUUUAUAAAUGAGGAAUAAGCUUUGUAGGAAAUGACAAAGUGAUGACGUUAAUUUAUGAAUAAGCCCCGGCUAAUUACGUGCCAGCAGCCGCGGUAAUACGUAAGGGGCGAGCGUUGUUCGGGAUUAUUGGGCGUAAAGGGUGAGUAGGCGGAUAUAUAAGUCUAUGCAUAAAAUACCACAGCUCAACUGUGGACCUAUGUUGGAAACUAUAUGUCUAGAGUCUGAUAGAGGAAGUUAGAAUUUCUGGUGUAAGGGUGGAAUCUGUUGAUAUCAGAAAGAAUACCGGAGGCGAAGGCGAACUUCUGGGUCAAGACUGACGCUGAGUCACGAAAGCGUAGGGAGCAAACAGGAUUAGAUACCCUGGUAGUCUACGCUGUAAACGAUGCACACUUGGUGUUAACUAAAAGUUAGUACCGAAGCUAACGUG